AGAAACCGUGGCAGCCCAGCAUCUCACAUUCUGACAAGGAGACCUCCGCAGUCACUGUGCUCUCUGGAAAUGAAGAGCAACCCCGACUCCCUCAAACAUCUGUCCUUCCGGGGAUCCAGGUGCAGCAACUGAGGUUCAGCUAAACGUCAACUCUGUGCGGCCGUCCAUUACUACCUUCUGCUCAUUCACCUGUACACAGCUUCCUAGGGGACAGAGCAAUACUUGCCUGUGACCCAUAAGGGGCAUUUGGAGACCUCACCUAAAAUUGACAGCAGAGAUUUACAAAUAACUAUAGUGGGAGAAGCCCAGUGCGGUUCCUGGCAUUUGCCGCACACCUGCACUGAAAAGCCGGUGCUCCAGCUCUCAGCGCAGGAUGCUCAGCACUCAACAUUCCAUCCACCUCUUUAAAUGUCUUCUGAAAACUCCAUGGUCUCCGUGAAAAUUAUGGCUUUGUCUUUCAAGCUCCAUUAAAAAAUCCAUAUUUUGAGGAAUUGUUUGAAGAUCUUUUCCCAAGCAGAAAGAUAAUAUUUUACACGAAGAAGCCUAACCCUUCUGCCGACAGGAAAACCCUGACAAUCACACUUCCAUCUGACUGAUGCUUGGAAGCCACAUGUUGCAGACUUCCAUAGAGAUCUGACCAAAACAUCGAAAAAUGUCAUUUGCCAAUUGAAGCAGAGAAUUACUAACAGCCGACCUUGCUUGUGGAGCUGGGGAAUCUUACCCAGAAAAGGCAGAAAAUAAACACAAAGCAUAUGCAUGGCAGACGCUCACAUAUAAUGACCCUGCAACAGGCAGAAUGCAGAUGUUCGGAAGACUUGAAAGAGGGGGCAGCCCUGAACAUUGACCCAACAAGGAUGAAGACCAUCACUCUGUAGGGGACACGGCUUCAGUCAUAGUGGGGUACUGCGUGCAGUCUUUCUGAUGAUGAGGUUAUGGCCCACCUGAACGGUCAUCAUCUGGAGAGAUGGUUAUAAAUACCGUCAUCCCCAAACUUCCUGAAUCAGAACGCUUGGGGGAGGGCGGUGUCCCGGGAGUGAGUGUUUCAGACAAACACCCAGACAGAUAAGUCUUUCUGUGGCACACCAAGUCUGAGAAUGACUACCGGCAGAACUUGAAGAACUUCCAUUCCAGAUGACCAGCCGGGCUCCAUUGCCAUGGCAACGUGCUUGACAGCCAUUUAGAAGCAACUUGCUCUAAUGUCACCGCUGAAUGGAAACACACUACUGCUCAGAAGUGUCCCAGGAGUCACAAUUGAAAUAAUUAAGAAGAAGUCCUGUCACCGUGUGGAGAGAUUCAAUCAGCCCCACAGACUGGUUUGCCAAGAAAACACAGAGCUAAGUACUUUUAGGAGACCAGAACUAUAUAGAAAACGGGCUUUUUGUCAUCCACGACUUUAAAUCAGACAGUCGGUUUGAAUCUAUGUUGUGUGUUUUUUUUUUUUUUAAUAAGAAAUUCAGAAUAUUAGUUCCACUAAUAUCCUGAGAUCUGUAAGGGCAUAUAAGUAAGAAAAGAAGGGCUAAAAUUAAAACUAUUUUCAAAAAAGCUAAGCUGUUGCUUUUUUCCCUCCUAUGCUUGCAAGCUCUGCCAGAGCCCAGCCUAUUUUUAAAGACUCCGGACCCACUUAAAGUGGUUUUCAGAGGAUGUGGUCACAAAUGGUGCCCAUGCUACAUCAGAUCCUGAAUAAUAGACGUGUGGAUCUGGGCAACCAUAAGAGGAAAAUUUUUUUCAUGAAAGAGCAAAUGAAGCUGGUGUGUGUGAGGUAACAGUUUUAGUAUCCACAUUAGUCCCAGAUGUUUUUCCAAAGAGACUGAGUUUUAUUUGAAAGCUGAGACAGGCUAUGGUUUCUUUGCUCUCUUGCCAUGCCCUUAGAAUAGGAAAUAGAGGCUGAUUAAGUAAUAACACAUGGAGACUAAUUAAUAUUUCAAGGUUAUCAGAAAUAGGUCAACUCCCUUUUUCAAUAAUUUGGAGGCUUGAUCAUCUUCAAUAAGCUUCAAUAAUCUCAAUGCAAACCAACAGCUUUAAAACAAGAAUGAACCUUCGGGUUCUUAAUCUUACCAAGCUGAUUAGUUCAGGUAGACAAAAGAAGGAAGAGACUCAGAAAUCAUAGCAUCAGUGUUCCCACUUAGCCUGUGUUCAAGGCUUUCCAGAACAAAGGCUACAGCUCCCUUUCCAACCUUCCUUUUGCUACUCCCCUAAUACCAGACAAACUGACUUCCCCUAUGUAUCCCCCAAGUUCAUGCCCUCCAUUGUCACCUGAGACCUUUGAUCAUGCAAUUUCCACCUUGUCUCUUUCUACAUGUCUGCCAUCUUCUCUUUCCUCUUCUCCUUGUCCCAUCCUUUGAGAAUGCCUGAGGUCCUCGUCUUCUGUCCUCCAGCUUCUGGGCUUUCUACCCUCCCUCCUGCACUGACCACCUCACCCCAGGCAGUUACUGUCACAACCCAUAAUGGGAUGAAUUGUGUCCCCUCCAAAAUUCAUAUGUGGAAGUCCUAAUCUCUAGUAUCUCAGGAUUUGACCUUAAUUGGAAACAGGGUAGCUAUAGAGGUAAUUCGUUCAGGUGAUGUCAUUCCAGUGGGUCGUAAUGCAAUAUGGCUGGUGAUUUAUGAAAAGAAUACCAUGUGAAGAAAAACAGAUUUGCAUAGAAGGAAAAUGAUGUGAAGGCACGGGAAGAAGAUGGCCAUCUUGCAAGCCAAAGAGAGAGGCCAGGAAUGGUUGUUUCCCUCACAAACUUCAGAAGGAACCAUUCCUGGCUGACAUUUUGAUCUUAGAUGUCUGGCCUCCAGAACUGUGAAACAAUACAUUUCUGUAGUUGAAGCUGCCCAGUGUGUGGUUCUUUGUUAUGGUGGCCCCAGCAGACAAAUAUAUUUUACGUGUGUGUGUGUGUGUGUGUGUGUGUGUGUGUGUGUAUUUUGA
Long non-coding RNA from Mustela lutreola (European mink), 2911 nucleotides. RefSeq lists it as uncharacterized. Lineage: Eukaryota; Metazoa; Chordata; Mammalia; Carnivora; Mustelidae. The record is from RefSeq and is a predicted model, not a curated record. The transcript is spliced from 5 exons.